This 877-nucleotide ribosomal RNA is filed under the name uncultured bacterium. Its description in RNAcentral is "bacterial SSU rRNA". It matches the Rfam family "Bacterial small subunit ribosomal RNA", at positions 33 to 894 of the family's 1533-position model. The record is from RNAcentral.
ACGCUGGCGGCGUGCCUAAUACAUGCAAGUAGAACGCUGAAGGAGGAGCUUGCUUCUCCGGAUGAGUUGCGAACGGGUGAGUAACGCGUAGGUAACCUGCCUGGUAGCGGGGGAUAACUAUUGGAACGAUAGCUAAUACCGCAUAAGAGUAGAUGUCGCAUGACAUUUGCUUAAAAGGUGCAAUUGCAUCACUACCAGAUGGACCUGCGUUGUAUUAGCUAGUUGGUGGGGUAACGGCUCACCAAGGCGACAAUACAUAGCCGACCUGAGAGGGUGAUCGGCCACACUGGGACUGAGACACGGCCCAGACUCCUACGGGAGGCAGCAGUAGGGAAUCUUCGGCAAUGGACGGAAGUCUGACCGAGCAACGCCGCGUGAGUGAAGAAGGUUUUCGGAUCGUAAAGCUCUGUUGUAAGAGAAGAACGAGUGUGAGAGUGGAAAGUUCACACUGUGACGGUAUCUUACCAGAAAGGGACGGCUAGCUACGUGCCAGCAGCCGCGGUAAUACGUAGGUCCCGAGCGUUGUCCGGAUUUAUUGGGCGUAAAGCGAGCGCAGGCGGUUAGAUAAGUCUGAAGUUAAAGGCUGUGGCUUAACCAUAGUACGCUUUGGAAACUGUUUAACUUGAGUGCAAGAGGGGAGAGUGGAAUUCCAUGUGUAGCGGUGAAAUGCGUAGAUAUAUGGAGGAACACCGGUGGCGAAAGCGGCUCUCUGGCUUGUAACUGACGCUGAGGCUCGAAAGCGUGGGGAGCAAACAGGAUUAGAUACCCCUGGUAGUCCACGCCGUAAACGAUGAGUGCUAGGUGUUAGACCCUUUCCGGGGUUUAGUGCCGCAGCUAACGCAUUAAGCACUCCGCCUGGGGAGUACGACCGCAAGGU